GUGCCCACUUGGGCAGCACAUAUUCUAAAAUAAAAACAGUACAGAGAAAGCUAGCAUGGCCCCUGCCCAAGGAUGACAUGCAAAUGUAAAGCCAUUUUUAUUUCU
Molecule: small nuclear RNA, 105 nt
Organism: Cricetulus griseus (Chinese hamster)
Lineage: Eukaryota; Metazoa; Chordata; Mammalia; Rodentia; Cricetidae
Source: Ensembl